UUUUUUUUUUUUUUUUUUUUUUUUUGAACUAAAUUCAAAGUCUCUUUAUCUGGAGGCUAAUGGGUUUUCCCCAAAAUACUCAUUUCUGAUCUGAUAUGCUCACCAAAUUUUAUUUCUUUUUUCUUUUCUUUUUUUAAUUAGUCAAUGAAUUUUAUUACAUUUAUAGGUGUACAGCAAUCAUCAUAACCAAAUUUUAUAGCAUUUCCAUCCCAAACCCUCAGUGCAUUCCCCCCACCCCUCAACCUGUCUCAUUUGGAAAUCAUAAGUUUUUCAAAGUCUGUGAGUCAGUAUCUGUUCCGCAAAUAAGUUCAUUUUGUCUUUUUUUAGAGUCCACAUGUAAGUGAUAGCAUUUGAUGUUGCUGGCUCACUGUCUGACUAACUUCACUUAGCAUGAUAAUUUCUAGGUCCAUCCAUGUUGCUAAAAAUGCCAUUAUUUCUUUCCUCUUAAUGGCUAAUAUUCCAUUGUGUAUCUGUACCACAUCUUCUUGAUCCACUCCUCUGUUGAUGGACAUUUAGGUUGUUUCCAUGUCUUGGCUGUUGUAUAGAGUGCUACAAUGAACAUUGGAGUACAUGUAUCUUUUUGAGUCAUGGUUUUCUCUGGAUAGAUGCCCAGGAGCGGCAUCGGGAGGUUCCCAGGCUAGGGGUCUAAUCGGAGCUGUAGCCACUGGCCUACGCCAGAGCCACAGCAACUUGGGAUCUGAGCUGCGUCUGCGACCUACACCACAGCUCACGGCAACGAUGGAUCCUUAACCCACUGAGCAAGGCCAGGGAUCGAACCUACAACCUCAUGGUUCCUAGUCGGGAUUCGUUAACCACUGAGCCAUGACAGGAACUCCUCUGCAUUGCUUUUAAGUGCAGGAUGGUGUGGGAGGGGCAUGUGCAGAAGCAAAGGGCAUGGACUUGGUAACUCAUGCGGAGAUUUGCGUCCUAGCGCGGCCAAUGUGACCUUGGCAAGUCCUUGAACUUCUCUGGGCCUCUGUUUAUUCCACUCUAUGUAGGAGACUUAACAGCCAUUCCCAGGGUGGCUGUGAGGAUGAACUGGGACAGCUGAAGCUAAAGGGCUAUGAAGAAGGCUAUGGUGCUUUAAAGUCGUUCUUACUUCCUGCCUUCAAGGCUUCUUCCAUGGGCAUAUAUUCAGUGGUGUAUUUGCACUUGAACUUGGCCACCUGCGGGGUAACUUUGAAAUCAGUUCUAUGGCUCAUUUGGGAGUAAGGGUCUCACACCUCAUUGGCCUUUCUGCCUCUUUUUAAGCUCUCCCAGAGAACCGGUGUCAGGGCCCGCUUCUUGAUUUAUGGGCAUCUGUGAGAGGUCUUUCCCCUCUUCCAUUGCUCUUUUUUUCUUUUAUUGUUGAGAUAAAAUUUAUGUAUAGUGAAGUCCACAGGUCUUUAAAUGUACUGGGUAGCUGAUGUAAUUUUCCGUCUGUAUGCGCCUGUGUAAGUACCAUCCAGAUGAAGAUAUGUAGCAUUUCCAUCGCUCCAGAAGGCCUCCUCGUCCCCUCCCCAUCAGUACGCCAUCCUACCUUGCUCCCCACCUCCUGCUCCAUCAUCCCAGCUUGUCCUCACAUCACUUAGUGACUAUUCUUGAAUGUCUUCUUCUUUUUUUUUUGUCUUUGGUCUUUUUUUGGAGGGCUGAACCCAUGGCAUAUGGAGGUUCCCAGGCUAGGGCACUUUGCCGCCGGCCUACACCACAGCCACAGCAACGCCAGAUCCAAGCCGCGUCUGCGACCUACCCUACAGCUUACGACAGCACUGGAUCCUGAACCCACGGAGUGAAGCCAGGUAUUGAACCCACAUCCUCAUGGUUCCUAGUUGGAUUCGUUUCCACGGAGCCACGAUGGGAGCUCCUGUUCUUGAACUUCUUAUGAAGACUCUGUACACCCUGUGUCUCACCCAGGCCCCUCAACACCUUGGCUUCUAGUUUCCUUUUCCUGUCAGUUAUAGGCAGGCUGUUAGCCUCUCUUCCUGAUGGACAGAGCUCCCCACUUCUGACAUAUCACCCGUGACCUGAGAUGGGCAGAGCCUUUAGACAUGCCUCUCAUGGCAGGGGGUGUCCAGGACACGGGGAUACCUCCAGAGGCUCCCAGAUUGGGCCUUUCUUCCCUCCUCCUUCUCCCAGGGGCAGCUUUGAGGCUUUUGCUGCUUUUGCCAUUGCUCUCAGAGGAGCUGGACCUGGGCUUGGAGGCUGGAUGCCCUGGGCAAAGGUUUCUGAGCAGCAGCCUGUAGUGAGGAGAAGCUGGUGGGGGGGCACUCUAUGACAGAGAGCCUAGAGGACUGGGGCCGGGUCCUGGCAGGAGGCAGGAGAGGCUGUGGGUUUUAGGGCGGGAUUGUAUAAAACUGGAGACCCGAGAGAGGUCUGCACCACAGGAGAUGCUCUCGGAACAUCCAGGGAUGCUGAAAGUGGCCAUUUCUAGGCAUGAGCGAGUUAGGAAUCAGCAGUCCUCCUUUGUGGGUGAGGGGGGAUGGGACUCCCAGGCAGGCCCCACCCUUGCUGGCUGACAAGGCAGACCUUAGGUGUGGUGGGGCAGGAAGUCCCCUUUCGUCUGCUGGCCCCACCACGCCUUCGCUUAUUUACCCAUGUAUCAGCGUUUACUGGGAACCCCCUGGGCAUGCUGGGCAGCCAGCUGGCACUAAGGGCAUAAGGAUAAACACAAGGUCUCCCAGCCCAAAGAGCUCACCCUCUAGACCAGGCUGCCGACGGGUGGCCCACUUGCCUCCAGAUGUGGCCCCCAGACCUGCUUGCUUUGGUGCCCACCCCCCAUAGUUUAUAAUUGGAAAUGGCCCAGAAAAAUCUGAUUUCUGGCUUCUCUUGACAAGUCAGAAGAUCUGGCAGCUGUGGUCUGCGUUCCUACAACCAGUGGGCUGAAGAGUGGCCGCUCCUCUCCGCACCCUUGCAGAGGGCACACUCGAGCCAGUUUGCUGCGGCCCUGCCCCUCCCUAUGGUCUCGUGCCUGGUCCUCCUCGCUCAGUACCUCCCCCUCCCCAUCUGACCCCUGUAGACAUUUAAGCUGAUUUCAGUGGGAGGAGUUAGUGCGGGCCUCUCAGAGGAGGGCAGUGGGUCUUGAUCUCCUGCUAGAGGGUGUCCCCCUCCAGGUCUUCUUGUUUCCUACUCCUCAGGGUGAAUGGAUGUAUCAGAUCCUUUCUCAAGAACGGAUUUACAGCAUGUGCUGGGGGAGGGGUGCCAGUGAGGGUGGGGGGUGAGUGGGAGAUCUGAUGCUGGGAUGAUGGCACCAAGACCCAUGAAAGUGGUUUUUUUAAUUUUUGUGCUAUUUGUCGCUCCCGCGGCAUAGGGAGGUUCCCAGGCUAGGAGUAAAAUCGGAGCUGUGGCCGCCGGCCUAUGCCACAGCCACAGCACUGCCAGAUCAGAGCCAUGUCUGCAACCCACACCACAGCUCAUGGCAACGCCGGAUUCUUAACCCAUUAAGCAAGGCCAGGGAUCAGACCUGUAUCCUCAUGUAUCCUAAUCGGGUUCAUUAAUUGCCAAGCCAAGAAGGGAACUCCAGAAGUGAUUCUUAAAGGGUGGACCACCUGGAUCAGAAUCACCUGGGCAUGCCGGUUCAAAGCGCAGAACUGAAGUGCAGCAGAAGCUGGAGCACAGUUCCCCAGGUAACAGUUGAGGUCAAAUUUGAGACCCACAAGGGAGAGGAGCCUGGAGCUUAGAGGGCAAUUGAGUCAGAUAAAUCGUGUUUUCUAGGGGCAAGACUGGGAACCCUACUUCAACAUCCAGCCCCCUGAUGGAACCUUGUUCUGAACACCACUCCCUGUUCUGGGCAGAGCUGAGGCCCCCAUCAGGCAAAGGGCAUGAGAAAUAACUUCUCCAGCUUUCCUGCCCCUGCCCCUGCACCUGGAGGAAAGGUCACCUGUGCUUUUGCCAAGUCUUGUUUUUUUCCCCCGAAUCUUUGAACUGUCACCUGGGCAGGGGGCCAACCCUAGGGAGAGGGCCAGUGGCUGGCUGGCAGGUAAGGGCCACCUUGUCUCCCCUUCACCUUCUCAGCCAGGUGGUCUGACAGUGGCUGGGCGCUGGCCAGGGGUCUGGAACCAUGGCCCUGUGCGGCGAAGGAGGAGGAUUUGUUCAAAGAGAGAUGCUUUCCUGAGUUAGGGGGCAGGGCGGGGGCUGGGGACUGCUUUUCCCUUUGGAGCUUUCAACGGUAGGGGUGGGGAAGUGCAUGCUGGGGUGUCCAGGGUGGGGCUGGGCUGUAGGGAGUGAGUAAGGAGGCAUCAUUCUCUGCAUCCUGCAAGUGGAGGGUGGUGCCCCCAAGAGGGAGCGCCUCUCUAAGAGAGCGGAGCCUAGGGAACAACCUGUAAGGCGGGGGCUCCUUCUCAGGGCUGAGAACUGGCCACCCCCAGCUCUUUUAGGAGCCUAAGAAUGAGAGCCUCCUUAAAGGAUGGCUCACUCGCUUUCCACUGGUCCCUGUCCAGCCCCUGAGAUGCGCCAGGGAUUGCAGACAAAGGAGGGGAGAACAGGACAACAAGAGCAUUCUUGUCUCUUGGUCAAGAUCACUCACUCUUGACCUUGGCUGAGCAUUGGAAGACCCUGUGAGCUUUACAAAAUCCUGAUGUCUGGUCCCCAUCUGCAGAGAUUCUUGUUUAAUUGAUCUGGGGUGCAGCCUGCUGUUGGGAUUUUUAAAAGCUCCCCAGGGGAUUCUAGUGUGCAGCGAAGUGUGAGAACCUCUGAUCUAGACAGUGCAGGGCGAGUGCUGUUUACUGGUUUUCCUUUCAUGGGUUUUUUGUUGUGAGCAACAGACCACCAGUCUCGCCAGACUUCUAAGGGUAAUAUAAGAACACUUAGAAAAAGUGGACGGGCUAUGAGACGAGUGGAAAGAAAGCCCAGUUCCUAGUCUGUGCCAAAUACAUUGUAUUUUUAUUUAACCAUCAACUCUGGGAGGUUGAUACGCUCAGGCUCAGUUUACAGAUGAGGAGCCUGAGCGUUGUCUGUGUCUUCUGGGUCCCACUGCUGUAGGAUGGCAGAGCCGUGAAAGCAAUGGACCUGUGACGGGCAGCCAGUGGGAACGAAGUCAGUGCUGAUGCUUUCAGACACAGCAUUUCUGGGGUCGGCUGAGGGGGUGGGGCUUGGGAAAGAACUGAGCUCCUCUCGGCCUCAGAAACAUGCCACAGAGGCUUUUGAAGAUGCGGAGGGGGCAUUUAAGGUGCGGCUUGGAAGAUGCUGAAAGGUGCUAUUUAAUGGGUCACUUUAUACAAAAUAAUCAUCACACUGGCUUCCAAAGCUGGUGACAGUGCUUGCAAGCCGCUUUUUGCAGUGGUGGCAAAGCCCGCUAUGUUCUGCUGCCAGCUCUAUCUUCUUUCUCAGGGUGGGUCUCAGGAGCAGUGGGGCAGGGAGGAGAAUGGCAGGCCUGGUGUCAGGAGAGCUGGUUGGAGUCCUGCCUGGUCACUUGGUGGUCACCUUGCUUUGGGCAAGGGGCUGAGCUCCUGACUCUUGGUGUCCUGAGUCCUGAGCUUCUGAGUCUUCAUAGACAUACUGGGGAUUUCCAUCCAAGGUGGAGUAACAGGGAUUGGAUUUUCCCUUCCCCCUGAAACAAAAAACAAACCAAUAGAGCAAAUGAAACAAUGGUUUUCAAGACACUGGACAUCAGGCCACAAGUUCAGUAACCCCAGAGAGCUCGAUGAUUCUGUUUACUGCUUUGUGAGAGUUUCUAGGUCUUGGCACAGGGCAGGGGGAUGAGGCCAGGAGGGGAGAGAUGGAAAUAUACUAUUGUAAGGUUCUUCUACUCCAGGUACAGUUAUAUGAGAUCUCUUGAAGUUAGACUGUGUGUCCUGUAAAUGGUAAAGCAACCACUCAAAUAUCCCAAAGGUUAGAGUUAGUAAGCAGUUAGGUUAGUUAGUUAGUAAGAUUAGUUAGUAAGCCAGUUCAGGAGAUAAAGCAGAGUUGUCAAUAAUGCCAAAUUCAAAAAACAAAGACAAAAACAAAACCAAAAAAAA
Molecule: long non-coding RNA, 5933 nt
Filed under: Sus scrofa (pig)
Lineage: Eukaryota; Metazoa; Chordata; Mammalia; Artiodactyla; Suidae
Description: lncRNA (ENSSSCG00055017645.1)
Source: RNAcentral